GAAAUUUUGGCCAGAAUUUACCAGAAACAGAAUACUGGAGUUGAAGAAAAAGAAGAAAGGAAGUGAGCCACAUUUAUAGGCUUCAUUCCACGAGAGCGCAUUUUGAAGACAAAAGUAGCAAAAGCAACCUGCCAAGCGGACAAACAGGAUCCUUGUUCUCUAUGUCAUUGCCCAGGCUGAACUUGAACUCCUGGGCUCAAGCAAUCCUCCAGCUUCAGCCUCUUGAGUAACUGAGACUACAGGUGCAUGCCACCAUGUCUGGCUUAAUCCUCACCUUUUAAAGCAGCUUUAAGGUAAGAGGAAAACUAGGAAUACUUAUGCUGGAAAAAUUGCUGCAUAAUCGUUAUGUCAAUGUUAUAAAUGACAAGAUGGGUUUGCUUACAUGCUCGUAACACAUGCUUGGAGGUUGGAGAACCUGAAAGAGCACUGUGAUAAUAGCUUACUGAGAAUUCUUGUCUGAGCUUUGAUGCUAGAAUCGAAAGCCAAGGACAUCAUCUUCAAU
RNAcentral lists this long non-coding RNA (502 nucleotides) under Homo sapiens (human). Its description in RNAcentral is "HSALNT0029088". The record is from RNAcentral. Lineage: Eukaryota; Metazoa; Chordata; Mammalia; Primates; Hominidae.